Molecule: ribosomal RNA, 460 nt
Filed under: uncultured bacterium
Lineage: Bacteria
Description: partial 16S ribosomal RNA
Rfam family: Bacterial small subunit ribosomal RNA
Source: RNAcentral
CCUACGGGUGGCAGCAGUGAGGAAUAUUGGUCAAUGGGCGCUAGCCUGAACCAGCCAAGCAGCGUGAAGGAUGACUGCCCUAUGGGUUGUAAACUUCUUCUAUAUGGGAAUAAAGUGCAGUAUGUAUACUGCUUUGCAUGUACCUUAUGAAUAAGGAACGGCUAACUCCGUUCCAGCAGCCGCGGUAAUACGGAGGAUACGAGCGUUACCCGGAUUUAGUGGGUUUAAAGGGAGCGUAGGCGGGUUGUUAAGUCAGUUGUGAAAGUUUGCGGCUCAACCGUAAAAUUGCAGUUGAUACUGGCAUCCUUGAGGACAGUAGAGGUAGGCGGAAUUCGUGGUGUAGCGGUGAAAUGCUUAGAUAUCACGAAGAACUCCGAUGGCGAAGGCAGCCUGCUGGACUGUAACUGACGCUGAUGCUCGAAAGUGUGGGUAGCAAACAGGAUUAGAUACCCGGGUAGUC